CUGAGGGGGAGUGAUGUUCGUCCCUCCUUGGUAGGAGGGUGGAGCUCCGUGGCAUGAGAUUCCCACGACUGACAGCGGGCACGGGGCGAUACAACAAGUUCCCUUCUCAUCAGCGCAGCAUUUGCUACUUUCAAGCCAGCUGUUCCUAAGGCCCCUUUGCCCUGCCCUUCCCUCCCCUGCAAAACUCCUCGUUCCUGAGCAUGUUCCUCAGUCUCUACCCCCAAAACAUUUUCAGAAGGCACUAUAUCAAUGUUUAAAAAGGCAAUACAUCAAAAAUAAAACAGUACUGUUUCUCCCAAGAUAUAAAAGAACUGCCUUGCACUAUAGAGCAUUUAGAAAAUACCAAAAGUAUGGUAGGGCUCAUAAAUGCUCAGAGGUGCGGAUAAUGUCUGCUAAUGAAAUAUAUUCUCCCAGCAUUUCUUCCCUGUGCAUGAACCCACCCCCACCCCCACCCCAUCCAGGUAGCAGGAUUGGGGCUUUUAAAAUGGGCGAGGCUCGAAACCCAUUUGAGUGAUGGCUCUCUGCCCUCGGGAGCCAGAAAGUCUCUAUUUUCUUUUUGCCAAGUGGAUGGACCAUGGUCUGAAGCUCGCCUCCAGCCAGGGAGCUCAGAGACCUUACAGCAGCACACUGCAUCUCUCCCCAAACAGAUGGAGGAAGCUAGAAAUGCGGGCUACGUCCUGAUUGAUUUUCUAAGUGGGCUACUGCAUUGCUUGUCCACCAAGGUCACCUAAGAAUCCCUGGGAGUGUUAAAAAAUCUCCACAGCCUGGGCCCCACCCCAGGCCACUUGGAUCUGAAUUGUUGGGGCUGCUGGGAUUAUCUGUGUUUGUUUUUCUGAUGUUCCUCAGCUGAUUCUGUUGAAGCAGGCAGAGAACUAUCCACUGUAUGCCCACAAGUUAGAGACGGGAGAGGUUUCCUCCAGCUCUGCCUUCGGAGCCUGAUCAGGCGAUGUGACUAUUUGCAGUUGGCAGAUUUUCACUCCCUUUAUUUUCUCUGCUGCUCAGAGUCAUCCUUAGAUCCUCAUUUUACAGCAGGAGGACCGAGGCCAAGGAGAUCAGGAGACUUACCGGAGGGCACACAGCUAGGACGUGGCGGAGCUGGGGUUUAGAUCUGUGGCUCCUGACUACCAAGGCAAAGAGCCCUGUGUCAUCGCAGAAAGGCAGCCUUGGACCUCGAAUGCAUUUGGAGCCCUAUCCCUGAUGACCUGGCCACUGCAGAGGCGUGUCUGGAGCAUCUGCGAGGAAAGAGGCAUUCAUUUUUUGUGGAGUUGCCAAGUUGACAGAAGUUGCCAAGCUUGGAACUACUGGUGGCCACCCUGUUCUCUACUUGAAGAUAAAGCCAACAAGGAGUAAAGAGAGCUAAGAGAAGGCGAGUGCACCCACUGUCCAGACAUCAGUAAGCCCCUGGAUUGAGCCAUACCUGAAGCCAGCUGCACCUCUGGACUGACCUGAUUAUAUGAGCCAAUGCAGUUUUUUCCCCAACACUACCCGGAGUUGGGUUUCUGUCUUAGAAAGGGUCCUAAUAAAGGCAAUGUUUUCCUUUGAUCUCAUUUUUAAAAAGUCAGCUUUGAGGUAUCCUUUACAUGCAAUAGAUUCCACCCAUUUUAAGUGUCCAAUUCAUAAGUUUUGUCAGACAUGUACACCCCUGCAACUACCACCACCACCAAGACUAAUUCAAGUUCCCUCCUUCCUCUAACCUCAGCCAACCACUGACCUACCUUUGUUCUAGAGAUUCAUUUUCCCUUUUCUACAACUUCAUAUAAAUAUCAUAUAGUGUGCUCUUUUGUGUCUGGCUUCUUUUAGUCAACAUGGUUUGGAGAUGUAUUCAUGUUGCGUGCACAGUUCAGUCCUUUUUAUUGCCAAGUAAUGUUCUAUUGU
Miniopterus natalensis is the source of this 1875-nucleotide long non-coding RNA. RefSeq lists it as uncharacterized. Lineage: Eukaryota; Metazoa; Chordata; Mammalia; Chiroptera; Miniopteridae. The record is from RefSeq and is a predicted model, not a curated record.